Molecule: ribosomal RNA, 813 nt
Filed under: uncultured bacterium
Lineage: Bacteria
Description: bacterial SSU rRNA
Rfam family: Bacterial small subunit ribosomal RNA
Source: RNAcentral
UGCAAGUCGACGCUAAUUUCAGGGUAGCAAUAUUCUGAGGUUGGAGUGGCGCAAGGGUGCGUAACACGUGGGUAAUUUGCCGCGAAGUUGGGGAUAACUCGCUGAAAGGCGAGCUAAUACCGAAUGUGGUCACCGGGAGGCAUCUUCCGGUGUCUAAAGUUGGGGACCGCAAGGCCUGACGCUUCACGAUAAGCCCGCGGCCUAUCAGCUAGUUGGUGAGGUAACGGCUCACCAAGGCUAAGACGGGUAGCUGGUCUGAGAGGACGACCAGUCACACUGGAACUGAGACACGGUCCAGACACCUACGGGUGGCAGCAGUCGAGAAUUUUUCUCAAUGGGCGAAAGCCUGAAGGAGCGACGCCGCGUGGGGGAUGAAGGGCUUCGGCCCGUAAACCCCUGUCAUUUGCGAACAAACCUUCCGACCCAACACGUCGGAAGCUGAUUGUAGCGAAAGAGGAAGGGACGGCUAACUCUGUGCCAGCAGCCGCGGUAAUACAGAGGUCCCAAGCGUUGUUCGGAUUCACUGGGCGUAAAGGGUGCGUAGGUGGCAGGGUAAGUUUGAUGUGAAAUCUCCGGGCUUAACCCGGAAACUGCAUUGAAUACUAUCCUGCUCGAGGGUUGGAGGGGGGACUGGAUUCUCGGUGUAGCAGUGAAAUGCGUAGAUAUCGAGAGGAACACCAGUGGCGAGCGAGUCCCUGGACAACUCCUGACACUGAGGCACGAAAGCUAGGGGAGCAAACAGGAUUAGAUACCCUGGGUAUCCUAGCCGUAAACGUGCAUAUUUGCUGUAAAAGGAUCGACCCCUUUUGGGCG